GUAGGGAAUAUUUCACAAUGGGGGAAACCCUGAUGCAGCGACGCCGCGUGAGUGAUGAAGGCCUUCGGGUCGUAAAGCUCUGUCGUAUGGGACUAACACAAUGAAGGUACCAUGCAAGAAAGGAUCGGCUAACUUCGUGCCAGCAGCCGCGGUAAGACGAGGGAUCCUAGCGUUGUUCGGAAUCAUUGGGCGUAAAGCGGGUGUAGGCGGAUUUAUAAGUCAGGUGUGAAAUCCCAGGGCUCAACCCUGGAAGUGCACUUGAUACUGUAAAUCUUGAGUGUGGUAGAGGUUACUGGAAUUGUUGGUGUAGUGGUGAAAUACGUAGAUAUCAACAGGAAUACCGGAGGCGAAGGCGAGUAACUGGGCCAACACUGACGCUGAGACCCGAAAGCGUGGGGAUCAAACAGGAUUAGAUACCCGAGUAGUCC
This 428-nucleotide ribosomal RNA is filed under the name uncultured bacterium. RNAcentral describes it as "partial 16S ribosomal RNA". It matches the Rfam family "Bacterial small subunit ribosomal RNA", at positions 354 to 796 of the family's 1533-position model. The record is from RNAcentral.